UAGUCAAAUUGUAUAAUUUAAUUAUAAUUUCUAUUUACCGAUUCAUUAAAUAAUCCUAACUGAAAUCCUAUAAUUAAGGAUUUAACCCACAUCAAGUUCUUCCUAGGGUUUAUUUGCUUUCUGUUUUUCUCCAUACAUCGACGAAUCGACAAGCACAGAAGGUUGAAGCACACAAUAUGUGAAGAUUGUCGACUGGAGACGCACGCUUGACGGACUGAGUCCGAUUCACCUCCUUCAAUUAUCUACACUAUGUAGGAACUUGCCACCUGUAGUAAUCUUCUUAAGGGAUAUCUGACGCCUUUCACUCUUUAGGAACUGCAUCUUCUUCAUUCCGCUCAAUCUUCUUCACUCUUCAGGUAAUCUAGUCCUUUUGCUAUCUACGUCCUUCGAUCCUUUUCAGAGUUUUUUUUUUCCGACUACUACCUUCUUAGGGUUUGAUUUUUAAUGAGUCUGGUGCUGGUUUCUUAUUUUGAACGUGUUUGGAAGAAAUUGGAAGAAUUUGGAAAGCCUAGCUGUCAAAGAUGCAUGUAUUUAGAAGAUUUUGAGCUAAAUCUAUGUAUAUUUGUUUCCAUAUAAGUGAUCCGGAAGAAAUAUGUAAUUCUUUCAUUUACCAUCCUUGUUCAUGAGUUGUUCAGAAAUAUGGUUAAUUAGAAGUUCAAAUGGGGCAAUUUCUUUGAAAAAACAACUACAUCUUACCUGGGUUUCUUGACAAUGAACCCAAUCUGCAAGUUAUGAAUUUUAAGCCUCCCAUUCUUUAUUUCAACAUUGAUUGGAUUAUUUUUAAAGAACUUGUUGAUGAUUUAUCAAGUUUAUGAAAAGGCUGCUAUAAAAUACAAUUAGACGAGCAGCUGCCACCAAGUAUAAACUUAGCUCAUAAUGAGGGGCUAAGUUAUAUGGCUAAUAAUGGAGAUACAAAUUAGUAUAAUGAAUGUAACUUUUUGGUAUAUGUGCUGAUUUAUAACUUGUAUCAUGGGCUAUACCUAGCAAUCUUGGAUUUGAAUCUUUAUAUUAGUCCCUCCCUAUUUUCCAGGAGGUAACAACUGAAAUGGAAAUUUAUAUGAAGUUUGCCGCCUCUCAAGUGUUUGUUUGAGGAUAAAGUAACAAGGUUAAUGCUAUAAAAUUUUGUGAACUUAAUUCUCAUCAGUCUUGUUCGUAGUUAUGAGAAAUAUUUUUUUAUACCAUUUCAAAUUGAACAAUACUCAACAACUAUAGAAUUAAGAAAUUAGAGGGGUUACUGGUUUUUCCUGUUCACAAGGUAAUUUGAACGUGUUUUUUUAUAUUUUUCAUUCUCUUGAAUGUUCUUGAGCUAUUUUGCACCAUAUGAUCUCUUAUGUAUUUUUGUGUAUUUAGGUUCAAACUUGGAGAGGUAAACAUAGAGGAAUGAGAAAACCAUCAAAAAGAAAAAGGAGAUUCUUCAAGAAUGAUGACAAAUUCUUCAAGAAUAAUGACAAACUGUUAAAGAAUGUACUAUAUAUCAUGACUUUUUGUAAAUUCUUCAAAAAUGAUGAUAGAUUCUUGAAAAAUGUAGUAUAAAAGGUUGUGUACAUUCUUUUAAAUGUUGUAUAUUUUCUUGUUUUAUGUCAUUUAUUCCCUUUCUUAACCAUUCUUUCUCAAUCUUUCCUAUUUUUAUAAAAUAUGAUAUAAAGAAUACAAAGAUUGCACCUAAUUCUCACAGAAUACUUCCUUUGUGAAAUUCUGAUUUUUUUUAUUACUUUUUAUAAUAUUCUCAAGUAAAUUUGCCAAAUUCGCAAUAGAAAUUAUUGUUAUUUUGAUGCAAAUUGUUAUUAUUGAAAUAUUUAUACAAGUGUAUUAUUUAAGAAUGACAGUUCUCAAUCCAUCACAAAACUACAAUUAGAUUCUUUAAGAAUGAAAGACCUAUAUGUGUUCAUGAUUAUAU
This 1897-nucleotide long non-coding RNA is filed under the name Lactuca sativa (garden lettuce). RNAcentral's name for it is "long non-coding RNA (LSAT_LNC000595)". Lineage: Eukaryota; Viridiplantae; Streptophyta; Magnoliopsida; Asterales; Asteraceae. The record is from RNAcentral.